This 462-nucleotide ribosomal RNA is filed under the name uncultured bacterium. RNAcentral describes it as "partial 16S ribosomal RNA". It matches the Rfam family "Bacterial small subunit ribosomal RNA", at positions 28 to 507 of the family's 1533-position model. The record is from RNAcentral.
GACGAACGCUGGCGGCGUGCUUAACACAUGCGAGUCGAACGGAAAGGCCCUUCGGGGUCCUCGAGUGGCGAACGGGUGAGUAACACGUGGGUGAUCUGCCCUGCACUUUGGGAUAAGCCUGGGAAACUGGGUCUAAUACCGAAUAUGAUCAUCGGCUUCAUGGUCGGUGGUGGAAAGCUUUUGCGGUGUGGGAUGGGCCCGCGGCCUAUCAGCUUGUUGGUGGGGUAAUGGCCUACCAAGGCGACGACGGGUAGCCGGCCUGAGAGGGUGACCGGCCACACUGGGACUGAGAUACGGCCCAGACUCCUACGGGAGGCAGCAGUGGGGAAUAUUGCACAAUGGGCGCAAGCCUGAUGCAGCGACGCCGCGUGAGGGAUGACGGCCUUCGGGUUGUAAACCUCUUUCAGCACAGACGAAGCGCAAGUGACGGUAUGUGCAGAAGAAGGACCGGCCAACUACGUG